Molecule: non-coding RNA, 82 nt
Organism: Pungitius pungitius (ninespine stickleback)
Lineage: Eukaryota; Metazoa; Chordata; Actinopteri; Perciformes; Gasterosteidae
Source: the annotation of a RefSeq genome assembly
GUUGUUGUGGCCGAGAGGUUAAGGCGAUGGACUCGAAAUCCAUUGGGGUCCCCCCGCGCAGGUUCGAAUCCUGCCAGCUACG